RNAcentral lists this ribosomal RNA (465 nucleotides) under uncultured bacterium. RNAcentral's name for it is "partial 16S ribosomal RNA". It matches the Rfam family "Bacterial small subunit ribosomal RNA", at positions 338 to 795 of the family's 1533-position model. The record is from RNAcentral.
CCUACGGGUGGCAGCAGUAGGGAAUAUUGCUCAAUGGGGGAAACCCUGAAGCAGCAACGCCGCGUGGAGGAUGAAGGUUUUCGGAUUGUAAACCUCUGUCAGCAGGGAAGAACGGUCACUGUGCUAAUCAGCAGUGAAUUGACGGUACCUGCAAAGGAAGCACCGGCUAACUCCGUGCCAGCAGCCGCGGUAAUACGGAGGGUGCGAGCGUUAAUCGGAAUUACUGGGCGUAAAGCGCUCGUAGGCGGUAGGUCAAGUCAAGGGUGAAAUCCCCGCGCUCAACGUGGGAACUGCCUUUGAAACUGGCAAACUGGAGUGUGUGAGAGGAUAGUGGAAUUCCAGGGGUAGGAGUGAAAUCCGUAGAUAUCUGGAGGAACAUCAGUGGCGAAGGCGACUAUCUGGCACAUAACUGACGCUGAGGAGCGAAAGCGUGGGUAGCAAACAGGAUUAGAUACCCUAGUAGUC